ACCCAGUUGAUGAGUCCCAAAUAGGACGAAACGGGUGUCCUGGAU
This is a non-coding RNA of Schistosoma mansoni, 45 nucleotides long. The record is from Rfam. NCBI's taxonomy places the organism in Eukaryota, Metazoa, Platyhelminthes, Trematoda, Strigeidida, Schistosomatidae.